UACGAAGGGGGCUAGCGUUGCUCGGAAUUACUGGGCGUAAAGGGCGCGUAGGCGGAUAGUUUAGUCAGAGGUGAAAGCCCAGGGCUCAACCUUGGAAUUGCCUUUGAUACUGGCUAUCUUGAGUUCGGGAGAGGUGAGUGGAAUGCCGAGUGUAGAGGUGAAAUUCGUAGAUAUUCGCAAGAACACCAGUGGCGAAGGCGGCUCACUGGCCCGGUACUGACGCUGAGGUGCGAAAGCGUGGGGAGCAAACAGG
Molecule: ribosomal RNA, 253 nt
Filed under: uncultured bacterium
Lineage: Bacteria
Description: partial 16S ribosomal RNA
Rfam family: Bacterial small subunit ribosomal RNA
Source: RNAcentral